Molecule: ribosomal RNA, 334 nt
Filed under: uncultured eukaryote
Lineage: Eukaryota
Description: partial 18S ribosomal RNA
Rfam family: Eukaryotic small subunit ribosomal RNA
Source: RNAcentral
CCCUUAGAUGUCCGGGGCCGCACGCGCGCUACACUGAAGGAAUCAGCGUGGCUUUCUCCCUGACCCGAAAGGGUUGGGAAACCCGUUGAAUCUCCUUCGUGAUAGGGAUUGGGGCUUGAAAUUGUUCCCCAUGAACGAGGAAUUCCCAGUAAGCGCGAGUCAUAAGCUCGCGUUGAUUACGUCCCUGCCCUUUGUACACACCGCCCGUCGCUACUACCGAUUGAACGGUUUAGUGAGGGCCUCGGAUUGGUCUCGGCCCGCUCUUUAACGGGCGGCGCCGUUGGUCGAGAAGACGCUCGAACUUGAUCGUUUAGAGGAAGUAAAAGUCGUAACA